CCUGGAUCAUGAAGACAGAUGCCUAUGAGUACUAUUUUUCUACUUUUGAAAGAAGAAACAGCUUCUGGACCAAGACUUCUCUGGGUUCGGGGAAAAGAGAAGAGGCGAGAAGAGGAGACAAGCUGAGAAGAGAGGAGAGAACAGGAGAGGGACAGAAUGACGUUGUGUGUUGAAGUACAAUUGUGUUUUGGCUCCAAUGGCCUUGAAAAAGUUUUUUUCAGUUUUGUUACAAACCCAUCAUGCCAUCUGCAGGGAACUGGUUAAAUGGACUUGGCACAUCCACACAAAGGAGUAUUUUGCAACCUUAGAAAGAGAGGAAUGUUUACAACUACUUAUAGAAGGUGAUUUCCAGAACGAAUUAUUAAUUAUAAAAAGUACAGCAAAUGGCAGUGCUUUUUACAGUAAUUAAAUUCAAUUUCCCUCUGAAGGUCAACUUUUGCCACUGCUAUUCUUGAAUUCUAUAAUCCCCUUUAAUAUCAUGGAGCUCAAUUCCCUGGAAAAUAUCCCUCUAUGCUUGCCUCGUGUAGGUUAUGAGAAUGCCUAGCAAGAUGCAUAUGUAACAGAGAAGUACGAAACCACCUUAUUGAAAUUUCUAUGGUUCCAAUAGUCAGGAAUAGUGGUUCUCAAACUUCUUCAUAUGAGGAAGCAUUUAUACACUCUUAAAAUUGUUGAGUAUCCAAAAGAACUUUGUUCAUGUGGGUUACAUCCAUUAAUAUUUACCAUAUGGUAAAUUAAAAUUGAGAAAAUAAAAAGCUGUGUUUUCAUUUGUUUAAAAAUAGUAAACAUCAUAUGUUAAAAUAAAUAUUUUUUAUAAAGUGGCUAUAUGUUUUAAAAACUUUAGUUGGAAGAUUGAUAUUUGUUUUACUUUUUAUAACCUCUUAAUGUCUCCCUUUGUAGUACACAUAUAGGUUCUCAUAUCUGCUUCUACAUUCAAUGUGAUGCAUUAUGUUGUUUUGAUUGAGGUACAUGAAUAACUUCUAGCUCACCCAGAUAGGUAUUUUGGAAAAGAUAAAUAUUGUACCAGCCUUUUCAGAUAUUCUUCGUAGAAAUAUAAUCUCAUAUUCAUCAGAAUAGUCUUUAAAUAGUAACAAGCUUUCCAGUAUCCUAACUUUUGCUUGAAAGCUCACAGUAUGUGAUUAGAAAUAAAUACUAUACAUUGUUUUCUUUAAAGGUACUUGCUCCCUUCAUCGUUUUGCGGAAAAAUAUUGGAGAACUAUGAAAACUUGUCUAAAUAACUAUAGUUUACUUGCAACUCAGUUUAAAAUAUUGUUCUAUGAAAGAGUAGCAGUUAGUUUGUAAUUUAAAUAAUCGCACAAGUGAUUUCCCACUAGACAACCAUACUUCAAAAUGUAGCAGAAGUUCUUCAUGUAUAUUUCCAACUUCUUCACACCAAGUAUUGAAAAUAUAUGCAAGGAAGUAUUAAAAUUUAAUAAAAUUAAUAAUCUUUACUGCUUUAAAAACAGCAUUCUAAAGUGAGUUUGGAUUUUUUUUCCCUACAAAUGCAUAGUGUUGAAAAAUACAUUGUACUGCUAAAUUUUGAUCUCACAGUAUUGAUUCAUGCUAAGGCAUCGGCAGUUUUACCCACUGUCACUCUGCCUCAUUAGUAUAACUGUCAAACAGUUAAAGAGGCAAAUACCUUCAUAGUAAUAUUAAGUAAUUAUUUUCACCUCAGGACACUCUAAAAGAAUCUCAAGGAUCCCCAAGAAUCCAUAGGCAACUUCUUGAGAACUGAUAGUUUAGUGUAUGCUAGGAUAGGCUUGAAAGAUAAAGAAUAAAUUACUGCACCCACUAAUGGUGCAGUGGUAAUCAUACCAUAUCAUUAAAAAUGAGGUACAGUGCUUGGUAGAUACCUUUGGAUUUUGGAGGUAUCCACUUAGGAAUACUGCUGUCAUUCAUAUGUUGGGUAACUUAAAAGGCUGAGAGAUUUCAGUGGGACUCAGAACAAUAUAGGGCUUUGCAGGAGAUCCAGGCUGUGAUGCAAGCUUCUGUGAUACAUAGGCCAUGUGACCUGGCAAAUUUAAUGGGACUAGAGGGACUCAUAGUAAACCAGAUCUCUGUAUGGUUUAUCUGUCAAAUCCCAGUAGGAGAG
This 2089-nucleotide long non-coding RNA is filed under the name Equus caballus (horse). RNAcentral's name for it is "lncRNA (ENSECAG00000055360.1)". Lineage: Eukaryota; Metazoa; Chordata; Mammalia; Perissodactyla; Equidae. The record is from RNAcentral.